AGUAGAAGAACAAAAGUUUAGUGGAAAGAGAGAUAGUUAAGUGUGAGGAAGAGGGGAGAAACAAGUGAGGGAGAGAAAGAGUGAAAGAAUGAAGAGAGACGGAGUGCUAUGUGUGAGGAAAAAUGUAGAGAAAGAAAGAAAAAGUGGAGAUGGAGCCGAAGGAAGGAAGGAAGACAUGAGGGAAAAUAUAAAUUAGUAAGAGAAAACAAGCAACUCGCUUGAGACAUUCCAGAUAGUAGACGGAAGUAUGUGUCGUGUACGCAGGAUCACAAAAAGUUAGUUAGAGACACGUCAAAUAGUCGGAUCAUGGUCACAAUAUAGGUCACCAUGUGCAUAAGGAGUCUUUAAAUUAUUUUCAUGACUCUGAUAAUGUAGUUUUGAAAGAACUAUUAAAAAUAAAUUGAUUUGUCCAUU
This is a long non-coding RNA of Lotus japonicus, 414 nucleotides long. RefSeq lists it as uncharacterized. The transcript has 2 exons. Lineage: Eukaryota; Viridiplantae; Streptophyta; Magnoliopsida; Fabales; Fabaceae. The record is from RefSeq and is a predicted model, not a curated record.